AGCGCUACGCCGGGGGAGAGCGGGAAUCAUUGAUGUUGAUUUAUAUGAGGUCUAUGUGAACCUCUAGUGCUA
RNAcentral lists this transfer RNA (72 nucleotides) under Ceraesignum maximum. RNAcentral's name for it is "tRNA-Ile". The record is from RNAcentral. Lineage: Eukaryota; Metazoa; Mollusca; Gastropoda; Littorinimorpha; Vermetidae.